GUACUGAAAGUGAGUAUUGGAGGAAAGCAAACUGGAAAUCCGUAUCAAAAGUGCUCAUGUUUUCCAGCUUGUUUUUCUCCAAUAUCUCACUUUCGCUCG
RNAcentral lists this microRNA precursor (99 nucleotides) under Triticum aestivum (bread wheat). RNAcentral's name for it is "MIR2275 microRNA precursor family". It matches the Rfam family "MIR2275 microRNA precursor family". Lineage: Eukaryota; Viridiplantae; Streptophyta; Magnoliopsida; Poales; Poaceae. RNAcentral also lists the same sequence under 1 other name. The record is from Rfam by way of RNAcentral.